CCUCAGACGUUGGAAUGUUUUCCCAGCGCUGCAGGAACGUGCUUGGGCACAGGGAAGAGGUGGCACCGGGGAUGCUCUGGGCUCCAGAGGAGAUUGAGGAGAUCCAAAGUGAAUCCAGCUCCUGGUCCUGCACCGGGGACAAAGCCCCAGCCUGGCAGGGACUGGAAUGGGAUGAGCAGGACAUCAAGCAGGAUUUUGGGAUCUUGGGAAGGCGUUUGGCUGAGCAAUUCCUGCUUUAACAAUCCCCCACUGAUCCCAACCAUAACCUCCUUAGAUCCUUUGCUCAGGAUCAAAUCUGGGUCAGGAAAGAUGCAGGGAACAGGAAAGACACUCGGGAAUGCCAGCAGCUCCAGGCUGCUAAAUAUAAACCUGGGAGAGGAGAGGAGCUGAGAGAGGGGUAAAAAUAGCCCCGGGCUCGCUGCAGCCUCUCCUGCCACGCCCGAGCUGCUCCCUGCUCCUGCUCUCGCCUCCCCGGGCUCAUUUUUCCAGCUACACCUGGACCUGAAUGGGAUCCGCUGCUGGGAGUUCACAUUAAAGCUGGGAUUUAUGGGAUUGUGCUUGUUCUCAGCCCUUGGCUCCUCCCCAGCAGGAAUUUGCCCUGUCCCAUACGGAUACAGAAUCCCAAAGCUGGGAUUUAUGGGAUUUAUGGGAUUGUGCUUGUCCUCAGCCCUCAGCUCCUCACCAAGAGGAAUUCUCCUUCCUUGACAGGAAUUCACCCUGUCCCAUAUGGAUACAGGAUCCCAAAGCUGGGAUUUAUGGGACUGUGAACUGGGAUUUAUGGGAUUGUGCUUGUCCUCAGCCCUUGGCUCCUCCCCAGCAGGAAUUCACCCUGUCCCAUAUGGAUACAGGAUCCCAAAGCUGGGAUUUACGGGAUUGUGAUUGGGGAUUUAUGGGAUUGUGCUUGUCCUCAGCCCUCAGCUCCUAACAGAGAGGAAUUCUCCUUCCCUGACAGGAAUCCACCCUGUCCCAUACGGAUACAGGAUCCCAAAGCUGGGAUUUGUGGGAUUGUGAGCUGGGAUUUAUGGGAUUGUUCUUGUCCUCAGCCCUCAGCUCCUUCCCUGACAGGAAUUCACCCUGUCCCAUAUGGAUACAGGAUCCCAAAGCUGGGAUCUAUGUGAUUUAUAGGACUGUGCUUGUCCUCAGCCCUUGGCUCCUUCCCUGACAGGAAUUUGCUCUGUCCCAUACGGAUACAGGAUCCCAAAGCUGGGAUUUACAGGAUUGUGAGUUGGGAUUUAUGGGAUUGUCUUUAUCCUCUGCCCUCAGCUCCUUCCCUGACAGGAACUCACCCUGUCCCAUAUGGGAUCCAUACAGGAUUCCAAAGCUGGGAUUUGCUGCAAGCAAAGCACCCCAGCCUUGGUGCCAGGGGGAAUUUAGGGUCAGCCUGGGGCAGGAAAUGUGGGGCUCCAGGGGGAAUUCAGGGUCGGGCCGGGCAAUGUGGGGUGCCCCUCAGCCCCCCGGGGUUCCAGGAGCUUCGCCCACCCUCCAGCCGCAUUCCUUGUGGGGGGGGAAAAAAAUCCCUUUUUACAGCUGCUGUCCCCGGCACGGAUUUCAAAGGAAGAGCUCCUAGCGACCGCCUCUUGUCUUGUUUAAUUUUGUUUAAUUUUGUUGGGUUUUUUCCCCCCCCUCAGUGUCCUAAAGGAAGCGGCGGCAUUUAUUGACUUUCCGAGGGAAAGUGCCCCUUGUCAAGCAAAGCGAUGACAUCACUUUUGGUUUUACAGCCGGGCAGGAACAAUGACAGCAAUGCCUGGAUGCUGCCGGGGAUGCAGAGCGAGCUGGAUAAUUAACAGCAGGCAGGAACAUGACGUUGCACGGCGGGACACGAAGGGAAGGAGCAGUUUCGCAAGGCAAUGAGGAAUUUAGGCAUCAGCGGGCAAAAAAAAUGAAAUCACCCUGCUUGGAACCCGGCCAAAAGCCAGGAUUAAAGCCAGCAGGGCGAGUGAUCUGCA
Long non-coding RNA from Passer domesticus (house sparrow), 1946 nucleotides. RefSeq lists it as uncharacterized. The record is from RefSeq and is a predicted model, not a curated record. NCBI's taxonomy places the organism in Eukaryota, Metazoa, Chordata, Aves, Passeriformes, Passeridae. The transcript is spliced from 2 exons.